Molecule: transfer RNA, 73 nt
Filed under: Bos taurus (domestic cattle)
Lineage: Eukaryota; Metazoa; Chordata; Mammalia; Artiodactyla; Bovidae
Also listed under: 4 other names
Rfam family: tRNA
About the family: Transfer RNA (tRNA) molecules are approximately 80 nucleotides in length.
Source: Rfam by way of RNAcentral
UCCCUGGUGGUCCAGUGGUUAAGACACUGUGCUUCCACUGCAGGGGACUUGGGUUCAAUUCCUGGCCCAGGAA